UGAAUAUUCUUGUAGGUAAGAUUUUUAUAGCUAAUAUUCAAAUUUAGGGUUCAGAAAUUUAUUUAUUUUUGGGAGAAGAUUUGAACAAAUAUGAUCGGAAUCUUUUGAAGCAACCUUAUACGUGAUUGAAGAUCAUGCCGCAAUUACAGUGUGAAGUCGUUGUAAAGGCUACCACAAUAGCAAUGUCGUAACCGCACUUGUAAACGUGGACUACAAUUUGAAAUUGUCUAUAACAUUCUUCCAAAAAGAAUGUUUAGAAUGAUUAUUUAUGCAAUAUUUUUU
Molecule: long non-coding RNA, 282 nt
Filed under: Medicago truncatula (barrel medic)
Lineage: Eukaryota; Viridiplantae; Streptophyta; Magnoliopsida; Fabales; Fabaceae
Description: lncRNA gene40769
Source: RNAcentral